CCUGAGACAUAUCAUGUGCAGCUGGAAACGCCACGUGAUAUCGUUUUCACAAUACUAACCAACAUAUAGAGCACUGUCUUGAUAUAGACAUGACUCACCUACACCAUCAUUCCAGCGUGCAAUGUACACAAUACUCCAUUAACUCUUGAACAGAUAAUCAACAAGAACCUA
RNAcentral lists this long non-coding RNA (171 nucleotides) under Haliotis rubra (blacklip abalone). Its description in RNAcentral is "uncharacterized LOC124268269, transcript variant X2". Lineage: Eukaryota; Metazoa; Mollusca; Gastropoda; Lepetellida; Haliotidae. The record is from RNAcentral.